UACGAAGGGGGCAAGCGUUGUUCGGAAUUACUGGGCGUAAAGGGCGCGUAGGCGGCCACCGCAAGUCGACUGUGAAAUCUCCGGGCUUAACCCGGAAAGGUCAGCCGAUACUGCGGGGCUAGAGUGCAGAAGGGGCAACUGGAAUUCUCGGUGUAGCGGUGAAAUGCGUAGAUAUCGAGAGGAACACCUGCGGCGAAGGCGGGUUGCUGGGCUGACACUGACGCUGAUGCGCGAAAGCUAGGGGAGCGAACGGG
Molecule: ribosomal RNA, 254 nt
Filed under: uncultured bacterium
Lineage: Bacteria
Description: partial 16S ribosomal RNA
Rfam family: Bacterial small subunit ribosomal RNA
Source: RNAcentral